AUUGAACGCUGGCGGCAUGCUUUACACAUGCAAGUCGAACGGCAGCGCGGGCUUCGGCCUUGCGGCGAUUGGCGAACGGGUGAGUAAUGCAUCGGAACGUGCCCAGGAGUGGGGGAUAGCCCGGCGAAAUCCGGAUUAAUACCGCAUACGACCUGAGGGGGAAAGCGGGGGACCGAAAGGCCUCGCGCUAUUGGAGCGGCCGAUGUCGGAUUAGCUAGUUGGUGGGGUAAAGGCUUACCAAGGCGACGAUCCGUAGCUGGUCUGAGAGGACGACCAGCCACACUGGGACUGAGACACGGCCCAGACUCCUACGGGAGGCAGCAGUGGGGAAUUUUGGACAAUGGGGGCAACCCUGAUCCAGCCAUGCCGCGUGCGGGAAGAAGGCCUUCGGGUUGUAAACCGCUUUUGUUCGGGAAGAAAUCCUCUGGGCUAAUACCCCGGGGGGAUGACGGUACCGGAAGAAUAAGCACCGGCUAACUCCGUG
This 484-nucleotide ribosomal RNA is filed under the name uncultured bacterium. RNAcentral describes it as "partial 16S ribosomal RNA". It matches the Rfam family "Bacterial small subunit ribosomal RNA", at positions 28 to 507 of the family's 1533-position model. The record is from RNAcentral.